CGCCCGUCGCUCCUACCGAUUGGGUGUGCUGGUGAAGCGUUCGGAUUGGCGGCCUCCGGCGGUUCGCCGCUGGGAGCAGCCGGGAAGUUCGUUAAACCCUCCCACCUAGAGGAAGGAGAAGUCGUAACAAGGUUUCC
RNAcentral lists this ribosomal RNA (137 nucleotides) under uncultured Trebouxiophyceae. RNAcentral describes it as "partial small subunit ribosomal RNA". It matches the Rfam family "Eukaryotic small subunit ribosomal RNA", at positions 1670 to 1804 of the family's 1831-position model. Lineage: Eukaryota; Viridiplantae; Chlorophyta; Trebouxiophyceae. The record is from RNAcentral.